RNAcentral lists this ribosomal RNA (497 nucleotides) under uncultured bacterium. RNAcentral's name for it is "partial 16S ribosomal RNA". It matches the Rfam family "Bacterial small subunit ribosomal RNA", at positions 30 to 523 of the family's 1533-position model. The record is from RNAcentral.
AUUGAACGCUGGCGGCAUGCCUUACACAUGCAAGUCGAACGGUAACAGGUCUUCGGAUGCUGACGAGUGGCGAACGGGUGAGUAAUACAUCGGAACGUGCCUAGUAGUGGGGGAUAACUACUCGAAAGAGUGGCUAAUACCGCAUGAGAUCUACGGAUGAAAGCAGGGGAUCGCAAGACCUUGUGCUACUAGAGCGGCCGAUGGCAGAUUAGGUAGUUGGUGGGAUAAAAGCUUACCAAGCCGACGAUCUGUAGCUGGUCGGAGAGGACGAUCAGCCAAACUGGGACUGGGACACGGCUCAGACUCCUACGGGAGGCAGCAGGGGGGAAUUUUGGACAAUGGGCGAAAGCCUGAUCCAGCAAUGCCGCGUGCAGGAUGAAGGCCUUCGGGUCGUAAACUGCUUUUGUACGGAACGAAAAGCCCCGGGUUAAUACCCUGGGUCAUGACGGUACCGUAAGAAUAAGCACCGGCUAGCUACGUGCCAGCAGCCGCGGUAA